RNAcentral lists this ribosomal RNA (513 nucleotides) under uncultured bacterium. RNAcentral's name for it is "partial 16S ribosomal RNA". It matches the Rfam family "Bacterial small subunit ribosomal RNA", at positions 28 to 523 of the family's 1533-position model. The record is from RNAcentral.
GACGAACGCUGGCGGCAUGCCUAAUACAUGCAAGUCGAGCGAACAGAUGAAGUGCUUGCACUUCUGACGUUAGCGGCGAACGGGUGAGUAACACGUAAGGAAUCUACCUAUAAGCGGGGGAUAACAUUCGGAAACGGGUGCUAAUACCGAAUAAUAUCUUCUUCCGCAUGGAAGAAGAUUGAAAGACGGCUCUGCUGUCACUUAUAGCUGAACUUGCGGUGCAUUAGUUAGUUGGUGGGGUAACGGCCUACCAAGACGAUGAUGCAUAGCCGACCUGAGAGGGUGAUCGGACACAUUGGGACUGAGACACGGCCCAAACUCCUACGGGAGGCAGCAGUAGGGAAUCUUCCGCAAUGGGCGAAAGCCUGACGGAGCAAUGCCGCGUGAGUGAAGAAGGCCUUCGGGUCGUAAAACUCUGUUAUAAGAGAAGAACAAAUUGUAGAGUAACUGCUACAGUCUUGACGGUAUCUUAUCAGAAAGCCACGGCUAACUACGUGCCAGCAGCCGCCGUAA